This 500-nucleotide ribosomal RNA is filed under the name uncultured bacterium. RNAcentral describes it as "partial 16S ribosomal RNA". It matches the Rfam family "Bacterial small subunit ribosomal RNA", at positions 30 to 523 of the family's 1533-position model. The record is from RNAcentral.
AUUGAACGCUGGCGGCAGGCCUAACACAUGCAAGUCGAGCGGAUGAGUGGAGCUUGCUCCAUGAUUCAGCGGCGGACGGGUGAGUAAUGCCUAGGAAUCUGCCUGGUAGUGGGGGACAACGUUUCGAAAGGAACGCUAAUACCGCAUACGUCCUACGGGAGAAAGCAGGGGACCUUCGGGCCUUGCGCUAUCAGAUGAGCCUAGGUCGGAUUAGCUGGUAGGUGAGGUAAUGGCUCACCUAGGCGACGAUCCGUAACUGGUCUGAGAGGAUGAUCAGUCACACUGGAACUGAGACACGGUCCAGACUCCUACGGGAGGCAGCAGUGGGGAAUAUUGGACAAUGGGCGAAAGCCUGAUCCAGCCAUGCCGCGUGUGUGAAGAAGGUCUUCGGAUUGUAAAGCACUUUAAGUUGGGAGGAAGGGCAGUAAGUUAAUACCUUGCUGUUUUGACGUUACCAACAGAAUAAGCACCGGCUAACUUCGUGCCAGCAGCCGCCGUAA